Molecule: ribosomal RNA, 248 nt
Filed under: uncultured bacterium
Lineage: Bacteria
Description: partial small subunit ribosomal RNA
Rfam family: Bacterial small subunit ribosomal RNA
Source: RNAcentral
AGAAUCAACGCUGGCGGCGUGCCUAACACGUGCAAGUCGAACGAGAAAGGGUAGCAAUACCUGAGUAAAGUGGCGCACGGGUGAGUAACACGUGACUAACCUACCCUGGAGUGGGGGAUAACUGAGGGAAACCUUAGCUAAUACCGCAUAAUACCUACGGGUCAAAGGAGCAAUUCGCUUUGGGAGGGGGUCGCGGCCGAUUAGUUAGUUGGCGGGGUAAUGGCCCACCAAGACAGUGAUCGGUAUCC